RNAcentral lists this ribosomal RNA (687 nucleotides) under uncultured bacterium. RNAcentral's name for it is "bacterial SSU rRNA". It matches the Rfam family "Bacterial small subunit ribosomal RNA", at positions 120 to 823 of the family's 1533-position model. The record is from RNAcentral.
AGGAACCUGCCUCAAAGAGGGGGACAACAGUUGGAAACGACUGCUAAUACCGCAUAAGCCAACGGGUCGGCAUCGACCAGAGGGAAAAGGAGCAAUCCGCUUUGAGAUGGCCUCGCGUCCGAUUAGCUAGUUGGUGAGGUAACGGCCCACCAAGGCGACGAUCGGUAGCCGGACUGAGAGGUUGAACGGCCACAUUGGGACUGAGACACGGCCCAGACUCCUACGGGAGGCAGCAGUGGGGAAUAUUGCACAAUGGGGGAAACCCUGAUGCAGCGACGCCGCGUGGAGGAAGAAGGUCUUCGGAUUGUAAACUCCUGUUGUUGAGGAAGAUAAUGACGGUACUCAACAAGGAAGUGACGGCUAACUACGUGCCAGCAGCCGCGGUAAAACGUAGGUCACAAGCGUUGUCCGGAAUUACUGGGUGUAAAGGGAGCGCAGGCGGGAAGACAAGUUGGAAGUGAAAUCCAUGGGCUCAACCCAUGAACUGCUUUCAAAACUGUUUUUCUUGAGUAGUGCAGAGGUAGGCGGAAUUCCCGGUGUAGCGGUGGAAUGCGUAGAUAUCGGGAGGAACACCAGUGGCGAAGGCGGCCUACUGGGCACCAACUGACGCUGAGGCUCGAAAGUGUGGGUAGCAAACAGGAUUAGAUACCCUGGUAGUCCACACCGUAAACGAUGAUUACUAGGUGU